UAAAGGAGACCUACCCGCUCAAAUAUUGAAAACAAUUUGUAAUUAGAUAUUGAGUUGGUCAUCCUAAUGGUCGGUCGCGUAUUUGUUGUUACUUUCUUUCAAACUAUAUUUUGGUUCAAAUUGGGCUAUUAGCUCAGGUGGUUAGAGCGCACCCCUGAUAAGGGUGAGGUCCCUGGUUCGAGUCCAGGAUGGCCCACCUGAAAAAAGUUAAAAGGGAAAAGUAAAAAGUAAAAAGAAUUUGUGAUUCUGUGUUUGCCUUUUGCCUUGUAACUUUUUUUGUUGGGGUAAAGCCAGGUGUUGAUUGUUAGCGGUCAUAUGUCCGUUAACGAACAGUAAUUAGAUAUGGAUUGCUUCAGCAACUGAGCAACUCAAUUGCCAGACUGCUGGAUACAUUUCCAGUAAUUGAACCUUGAAAACUGCAUAGUGAAGCGAAUAUUAGCAGGCAGACACACACAGACAUAACUGAAGUGGUGUUCUGUUGUCAAAAACAAUUGUUUUUU
Molecule: transfer RNA, 500 nt
Filed under: Tolypothrix carrinoi HA7290-LM1
Lineage: Bacteria; Bacillati; Cyanobacteriota; Cyanophyceae; Nostocales; Tolypothrichaceae
Description: 16S-23S ribosomal RNA intergenic spacer
Rfam family: tRNA (bases 123-196)
Source: RNAcentral